CCUACGGGCGGCAGCAGUGAGGAAUAUUGGUCAAUGGACGAGAGUCUGAACCAGCCAAGUAGCGUGAAGGAUGACUGCCCUAUGGGUUGUAAACUUCUUUUAUAUGGGAAUAAAAUGUUCCACGUGUGGGAUUUUGUAUGUACCAUAUGAAUAAGGAUCGGCUAACUCCGUGCCAGCAGCCGCGGUAAUACGGAGGAUCCGAGCGUUAUCCGGAUUUAUUGGGUUUAAAGGGAGCGUAGGUGGAUUGUUAAGUCAGUUGUGAAAGUUUGCGGCUCAACCGUAAAAUUGCAGUUGAAACUGGCAGUCUUGAGUACAGGAGAGGCGGGCGGAAUUCGUGGUGUAGCGGUGAAAUGCUUAGAUAUCACGAAGAACUCCGAUUGCGAAGGCAGUUCACUGGACUGCAACUGACACUGAGGCUCGAAAGUGUGGGUAUCAAACAGGAUUAGAUACCCCGGUAGUC
RNAcentral lists this ribosomal RNA (460 nucleotides) under uncultured bacterium. RNAcentral's name for it is "partial 16S ribosomal RNA". It matches the Rfam family "Bacterial small subunit ribosomal RNA", at positions 338 to 795 of the family's 1533-position model. The record is from RNAcentral.